UCUGAGGCCGCGAAAAAUUGAAUUAAAAUUUUAGAACUCAAAAAUCCCGCCACGAAUUUUGUUCUCCCGCUCCCUAAAUUUGAGUCAAUAAAAAACAAAGUGGGGGAGAGAAGAAAAGGAGAGUUGGUCUCAGAGGUCUCCCCCAGCUCUGUCACUGUUGGACGCAUCCAAUUUCUGUAAGUGAUGGAGAAGAGGUUUGGGCGUGGAAAUGAAGGCAAGGGUUUGGGUAAGGGAGGAGCAAAACGACAUCGUAAGGUCUUCCGCGAUAUCAUCAGCGGCACCAAGCCGUCGACGGGGAGGAGAAGGAGAUUGGAAAGCAGGGAUUGAAGAAGAAACUCCUAAAGGAAGGUGAAGGCUGGGAUAUACCCCGAAUACAUCACACCGGGAAUUUGGUGGACAGGACACAGUUCGAUUCGAGGGGGGACAUGGAUCAGUUCACUCAGACAAGGUGUUGUAUUAUUCAGUAUCGAAUAUUUAUGCACACAAGGUACUAAAGUAUUUGGGUAACUAGACAUCACGGGAAUGAUUGAGACUAGAGUGGUCAGCUGGUGACUUCCACCAAGGAGGUGCAUAUUACGUGUAAAGAUGCGGUUGUUUCCGGUUUAUCAGAUGGAGACCAAAGAGGCUAUUUCCGCUUACUAGAGGGAGCAUGAAAGGUACUGACUUGUGAGAAUAGUCUAGAUUGUGAUGUAGGGUCUUAAGUAUUUAGAUCUGGUUUGUAUUGUAAAGGUUUCUUUAAAUCUCUCAUCCCAAAGGAUAAGUACAAGUAGGAAUUCAAUAGUUUUUUGUUUUUAUAAUUACCAUACGGCUUCAAGUUAAGCAGAGAGCACAUUUUUCUGUUUCGUUCAA
This is a long non-coding RNA of Rosa rugosa (rugosa rose), 849 nucleotides long. RefSeq lists it as uncharacterized. The record is from RefSeq and is a predicted model, not a curated record. The transcript has 4 exons. Lineage: Eukaryota; Viridiplantae; Streptophyta; Magnoliopsida; Rosales; Rosaceae.